AGGGUAUUCUGAUAAUCAAUUAAUUUAUUCUUAAAAAUUAUAUCAUGCAUAUUACUUUGAAUACAGUAAAUCAAACAUUCAAUAAAAAUUAAUUUUAAUAUAUCUAAUUUCAAUAUAACUUAUUUCAUUAUAAUUAAUUUCAGUAUAACUACAUUUUCAACGCAGCUCUAAAUGGACAAUGAUUCAACAUGUAGCAAAACCUUGGACACAUGUAUAUCAUGCGGCGACCCUUGGUGUUUUGUGCUUUAUAUUCUUAGAAUACAAUAGAAAAACAUUUGAAUGUAACGUAAUCUUCAAACGUAGGACCAACCUUUUUUCACUUUGUCAUCUUCACUUUCUUGUCGGUUAUCCAUCCAUUAUCUCAAUCUUUGACCAUAACAUAAAGAUAUAUGCCAACUUCCACCACCGGUUAGAAUUUUCACUAUCAAGUUUAAACUAUAAAUAAAUAAAAUAUAAAAAGGUCGAAAGGCUAACCUCUAUUAUGUACAUACCAAAUCAUGUAUACAAAAAGGAGAGUAUGUUCCAACUUCCAACCAAACAAAAUUUGAGUGAUCCUACCCCGAUCCAGAAACAACCGACAUCCUUUUCUUUCUUUUCUCAUUCACCUUUUCUCCUUUCAAAUAAAAAUGGUACUCCCCAUGUUCUAUUUUAUGCACAAUCUCUUUAUCAGUCCAUUCUCAAAAAGAAUAUUAUUUUAUUAUAAUUAAAAUAAAAAAGAUAAAAAAUAUCUUUGAAUUAUUUGAAAAUUAUUUAAAAUGAAUUAAAAAUAUUGUUUAUUUAUUUUUGAACUUAAAAAUACCUUCUUUUUUUUUUACUCAAAAAUAUUCCUCCAUUAUAUUUUAAGCCCAGAAACACCCCUCUCUAAUGAAAUACCAUCAAACACGCCAAUCACUUGAUCAGUCCACAUCAAUAUACACAAAUAAAAAAUUGCUCCAUUUAAUCUAUCUAACCAUCAACCCAUUUUUUUAUUUAAAGACCCAACUCCACUCACAUUGAAAAAAAUCUAGCCCCAGAGGAAAAAUAUUGAAGAAUUUGAUUGCUUAUUUUUCAUGUGAUUGGUUCAAAUAUUUUGGAUUGAUCAAGGAGAAAGAUAAGAAAAUAAUUAGGUCCUUAAAUUGUUGAUCCAAAAGAAUCGGAUUUUAAUAGGGUCGAUCAUAAACAAUUGGAUCCUCAAAUAGUUGACCUGAUUUUCAAGAGCUCAGAUUGCUACUAGAUAUGAAUUUGUCUAAUGAGAAAUCUGAUUGUAGUGAGAGGAAUAGUAAUUCAGAGACAACAUUGAAAUUUGAAGAGUGAAAAUUUAGUGGCAAUGUAGGACAACCACAAGUUGAUGAGAUCAAGAAUUUCUCUAGUGAGUCUCGUAAUUUUGAAAAUAUAAAAUAAUAAAAUAUAAGGCGGUGCAAGGGACGAUAUGAGGAAAAUAAUUAAAGAAUUGAAUUUGCCUCUUGAUUCGGAUUUUUUGAAUAUGGAUCGGAUUGAAUUUUUAAAUAGAAUAAAAUGGGUUGAUUCUUAGGUGGAUUAAAUAGAGUGGUUUUUUCACGUGUAUGCUGACGUGGACUAAUUAAGUGACUUUUUUUAUCUGUGUGGUGUAUUUGGUGACAUUCCGUUAGAGAGAAGGGUAUUUUUGAGCCAAAAAAUUAAUGGAGGAGUUUUUUUGAGUCAAAAAAUUAACGGAGAGGUAUUUUUGAGCCCAAAAAAUAAACAGAAGCAUAUUUUUGAAUCAAAAAAUAAACAAAGGUUAUUUUUGAUCCAUUUUGAAUAGUUCAGGAAUAUUUUUUACCCUUUUGUAAUUAAAAAAAAUCACUUAAUCUUUUGUUUUAUUCUUAAUGAAAUAACAAUCACAAAAUAUUUAAAAAUUAUUUUUUGACCAUAAUUUUUUUUAAAAAAAAAAAUAUUAUAUCAAGUCAAAAUAUAGCACAUAAAAUGGGAUCAUUUACUAUUACUUUCUUUUUUGGGUACGUAAAUUUUGUUUCUAUUAAGAAGUUUGUGUUCGAAUUUUCUUCCUCUACUGGCUUAGGAAGUAUUUGUUUGUGUAACGCAUCGAAAAUCCACAGAAACUGAUGAAUCUUACGUUGUCAGUUUUGUUGGAUGUUGGAGCGGUUACGGUUGCUGUUAGGUUUUGUAGAAUAAUUUACUAUUUAGUUGUAGACUUCUAUUUUUCGUUUAAUUUUAAAAGUUAAAGAAAUAAUUUAUUAUUUUAUAUCUAUUAUUUUUAUUAUUAAGAAUUAUUUAUUUUUAAAUAUUUAAAUAAUUUAUACUAAUAACUAGAAGUGAUUAAAAUUAUUAUA
Molecule: long non-coding RNA, 2285 nt
Filed under: Capsicum annuum
Lineage: Eukaryota; Viridiplantae; Streptophyta; Magnoliopsida; Solanales; Solanaceae
Description: long non-coding RNA (CANN_LNC014656)
Source: RNAcentral